This 222-nucleotide ribosomal RNA is filed under the name uncultured bacterium. RNAcentral's name for it is "partial 16S ribosomal RNA". It matches the Rfam family "Bacterial small subunit ribosomal RNA", at positions 524 to 745 of the family's 1533-position model. The record is from RNAcentral.
UACAGAGGGUGCAAGCGUUAAUCGGAAUUACUGGGCGUAAAGCGCACGUAGGCGGUUUUUUAAGUCAGAUGUGAAAGCCCCGGGCUCAACCUGGGAAUUGCAUUUGAAACUGGGAAACUAGAGUGUGUGAGAGGGGGGUAGAAUUCCAAGUGUAGCGGUGAAAUGCGUAGAGAUUUGGAGGAAUACCAGUGGCGAAGGCGGCCCCCUGGCACAACACUGACG